GAUGAACGCUGGCGGCGUGCCUAACACAUGCAAGUCGAACGGAGUUAUUAUUAUGAGGUUUUCGGAUGGAUUAAUAAUAACUUAGUGGCGGACGGGUGAGUAACGCGUGGGUAACCUGCCUCAUACAGGGGGAUAACAGUUGGAAACGGCUGCUAAAACCGCAUAACAUUGCGAUGUCGCAUGACAAUGCAAUUAAAUAUUUAUAGGUAUGAGAUGGGCCCGCGUCUGAUUAGCUAGUUGGUGGGGUAAUGGCCUACCAAGGCGACGAUCAGUAGCCGGUUUGAGAGAGUGACCGGCCACAUUGGGACUGAGACACGGCCCAAACUCCUACGGGAGGCAGCAGUGGGGAAUAUUGCACAAUGGGGGAAACCCUGAUGCAGCGACGCCGCGUGAGUGAAGAAGUAUUUCGGUAUGUAAAGCUCUAUCAGCAGGGAAGAAAAUGACGGUACCUGACUAAGAAGCCCCGGCUAACUACGUGCCAGCCGCCGCGGUAA
RNAcentral lists this ribosomal RNA (494 nucleotides) under uncultured bacterium. RNAcentral's name for it is "partial 16S ribosomal RNA". It matches the Rfam family "Bacterial small subunit ribosomal RNA", at positions 28 to 523 of the family's 1533-position model. The record is from RNAcentral.